Molecule: non-coding RNA, 894 nt
Organism: Camellia sinensis
Lineage: Eukaryota; Viridiplantae; Streptophyta; Magnoliopsida; Ericales; Theaceae
Source: RefSeq, a predicted model, not a curated record
AAGCAUCCAGAUACCAGAAGGCGGGCAUUCCAUACAUUGCUGAUAAUGCAAGUAGUGACAAAUGGGCCUGGGUGUUUUUUGAGGCAAACGUUGAUGUCCCUAUGACUGCUGAGAUAGUUGCUAAAGCGGGGAAGAGAGAGAGAGAUAUUGUAAAAGUCACCAUCAAGUGGGAACGAUCAGAUUGGUGACAGCCUGCUGAUUUCUGUCAAGAUCAACAUGAACUCAUCAAAUUGGUUACAAUAUGUGAACCUGUUGUUGACCCAAUAACCUUUUGGCCCUGGUAUGGCCAGCACUUCGUUUGCAGGCCAUGUGGUACCUAUUGAUUUGUCAACCUGGAAGUUAGGUUCAAGUCCCUUUGUAGGGUUUGGUUUGGUUUGGUUUGGUUUGGUUUUCAGCAGGGGGUGGGUCUGGUCUGGUUUGGUUUGGUUUCCAAUGGUGUGCCAUAACAGUAAACAUGGCAUAGACAAAAAGACAGCAAAGUAGACAGAAAGACCUAAUUGUGGCUACUUAAGAGCAUCUGCAUCAGGCUCUCUACAAUAGCUUUGAAGCUAUUGUAGACCAUCAGCAUCAAAUCCUUCCUCCAUCAGUCUCAACAAUUUUUUUGUAAAUUAACGUUUUGUUAAAUUUGCUACAGUACCUCAACAAAAAUAAAGAGGCACUGUCCAUUAGCUACAUUAUUUUUUAUUAUAUUUUCUAGAGCAAAUUUGGGCAAAAAUCUUUAAACCAGUCGUCCACCCGGAUAUCCUACCGGGUGUUCCGUGAGUGCUUGUAGCAGAAGAAGAAAAAUGUCGAAAAUUAGCCUAACCGGUCGACCAGCCGGUUGACUGGUCAAAGACAUUUUUUUUUUUUUUUUGGCAUUUUUUAAGAAUUGUUUUGUGACACCUCAUCAAUUUA